Molecule: transfer RNA, 69 nt
Filed under: Dipodomys ordii (Ord's kangaroo rat)
Lineage: Eukaryota; Metazoa; Chordata; Mammalia; Rodentia; Heteromyidae
Rfam family: tRNA
About the family: Transfer RNA (tRNA) molecules are approximately 80 nucleotides in length.
Source: Rfam by way of RNAcentral
GGAAGUGUGGCUCAUCAAUAGAGCAUCUGCCUGACAAGCAUGAGGUCCUGAGUUCAAAUCCCAGUACCA